AGUGAAGCCAUAGCUGCAAUCUCCAUCGCCAUUGUUGGAAGAGUGAAGUGGAGUAGUGUUUGUGUUUGUGUUUGUAGUGUGAUUAGAGAUGUGUUGCCAAUUUUGUUCUUUCACAUCAGUUGCGGCCUCUGUUUGAAGUUUGAAUUACGAGCGUUUCCAGCAGCAGUUGCAUCUAACAAGCAAAAAUGGAAUUUGGUAAGAAGCGUAGUUCAAAAAACAACAAAAAUGAAGUUGGUAAGGAGCAUAGAUGCAGAGUUUCGUUUGAUGUUCAAGAAAAAGGGACUAAAUGGAUACCUAUUCCUCAUACGUGUGAUUGCUACAAGAUGCAUCUUAAGGCAAGUUCUUCUGGAAAUCUUAACUAUGUUUAUGAGGCCUUUAGCAUUGCUUUUUAAAUAAGUUUUAGAAAAAUAGUUUCUUUGUGCAUACUUGAAUUCCAUAAUAUCAAUUUCCAAACCAACAUUUGGACUCUGUCAAUGAUGAUUUUACUCAUUUGGAUUCGGAUGAUGAACAGUUUCGUGAGAAUGCUUUACCGGAGAAGGAAGAGUUGGAGGCUGAUAUUGAUAGUGAUGUGGCUACUACAUUAGUUGAUGAAAGCAGUAAGAGUACUUUCUGCAUGUUUGUUGAACUGUAUUACUGUCUGUCUCUUUGAAAGACAAACAUCAAUUUUAGUGGAUGGUCAUUGAAUUACAUGUGAAUGAUGUAAACUAGUCUUACACCCGAUCGAUUUUUUUUUUCCUUCAAUUAAA
Molecule: long non-coding RNA, 746 nt
Organism: Medicago truncatula (barrel medic)
Lineage: Eukaryota; Viridiplantae; Streptophyta; Magnoliopsida; Fabales; Fabaceae
Exons: 3
Source: RefSeq, a predicted model, not a curated record